Molecule: ribosomal RNA, 253 nt
Filed under: uncultured bacterium
Lineage: Bacteria
Description: partial 16S ribosomal RNA
Rfam family: Bacterial small subunit ribosomal RNA
Source: RNAcentral
UACGUAGGGUGCAAGCGUUAAUCGGAAUUACUGGGCGUAAAGCGCGGGCAGGCGGUCUUGCCAGUCUGAUGUGAAAUCUCCUCGCUCAACGGGGAGCAGCCAUUGGAAACUACAAGACUGGAGUCUGGCAGAGGUAGGCGGAAUUCCGGGUGGAGUGGUGAAAUGCGCAGAUAUCAGGAGGAACACCGGUGGCGAAGGCGGAUCUCUGGGCCUUACCUGACGCUGAGGAGCGAAAGCAUGGGGAGCAAACAGG